Molecule: ribosomal RNA, 253 nt
Filed under: Mediterraneibacter faecis JCM 15917
Lineage: Bacteria; Bacillati; Bacillota; Clostridia; Lachnospirales; Lachnospiraceae
Description: [Ruminococcus] faecis JCM 15917 partial 16S ribosomal RNA
Rfam family: Bacterial small subunit ribosomal RNA
Source: RNAcentral
UACGUAUGGUGCAAGCGUUAUCCGGAUUUACUGGGUGUAAAGGGAGCGUAGACGGAGCGGCAAGUCUGAUGUGAAAACCCGGGGCUCAACCCCGGGACUGCAUUGGAAACUGUCAAUCUAGAGUACCGGAGAGGUAAGCGGAAUUCCUAGUGUAGCGGUGAAAUGCGUAGAUAUUAGGAGGAACACCAGUGGCGAAGGCGGCUUACUGGACGGUAACUGACGUUGAGGCUCGAAAGCGUGGGGAGCAAACAGG